Molecule: long non-coding RNA, 212 nt
Filed under: Manihot esculenta (cassava)
Lineage: Eukaryota; Viridiplantae; Streptophyta; Magnoliopsida; Malpighiales; Euphorbiaceae
Description: long non-coding RNA (MESC_LNC001064)
Source: RNAcentral
UUCGUCUCUGGAGAGGACUUUCGGCCGCCGAAAGUGCCGCCGAAGGUGCCCUGUUUUGCCUUCCUUUGCAUGUUUUUCCAUGCAUGCUUAUGAUGUUUUAGAGGGUUUUUGGGGAGAUGUUUUAGAGCUUUGCUAGAGUUGUUUAGCACCUCAUGUGAGUCCACCUGUGUAGGAUCAGACCUGAGGCGAGGUGUUUAGCUCCAGUGUUAGAG